UACGUAGGGGGCGAGCGUUGUCCGGAGUUACUGGGCGUAAAGGGCACGCAGGCGGUGCGGCGCGUUUCGCGUGACAGCGGAGGGCUUAACUCUCCGAGGAUGCGAAAGACGGCGGCACUUGAGGGCCAGAGAGGGACACGGAAUUCCGGGUGGAGUGGUGAAAUGCGUAGAGAUCCGGAGGAACACCGAAGGCGAAGGCAGCAUCCUGGACCAAUACUGACACUGAAAAGCGAAAGCCAGGGGAGCAAACGGG
This 253-nucleotide ribosomal RNA is filed under the name uncultured bacterium. RNAcentral's name for it is "partial 16S ribosomal RNA". It matches the Rfam family "Bacterial small subunit ribosomal RNA", at positions 524 to 776 of the family's 1533-position model. The record is from RNAcentral.